This 87-nucleotide transfer RNA is filed under the name Myxococcales bacterium. RNAcentral describes it as "tRNA-Leu". It matches the Rfam family "tRNA". Rfam says of the family: Transfer RNA (tRNA) molecules are approximately 80 nucleotides in length. Their secondary structure includes four short double-helical elements and three loops (D, anti-codon, and T loops). Lineage: Bacteria; Pseudomonadati; Myxococcota; Myxococcia; Myxococcales. The record is from RNAcentral.
GCAGCGGUGGUGGAACUGGCAGACACACCAGCUUGAGGUGCUGGCGCCGUAACUGGCUUGGAGGUUCAAGUCCUCUCCGCUGCACUA